RNAcentral lists this ribosomal RNA (367 nucleotides) under Pseudomonas fluorescens. Its description in RNAcentral is "bacterial SSU rRNA". It matches the Rfam family "Bacterial small subunit ribosomal RNA", at positions 61 to 430 of the family's 1533-position model. The record is from RNAcentral. Lineage: Bacteria; Pseudomonadati; Pseudomonadota; Gammaproteobacteria; Pseudomonadales; Pseudomonadaceae.
GUCGAGCGGUAGAGANAAGCUUGCUUCUCUUGAGAGCGGCGGACGGGUGAGUAAUGCCUAGGAAUCUGCCUGGUAGUGGGGGAUAACGUCCGGAAACGGACGCUAAUACCGCAUACGUCCUACGGGAGAAAGCAGGGGACCUUCGGGCCUUGCGCUAUCAGAUGAGCCUAGGUCGGAUUAGCUAGUUGGUGGGGUAAUGGCUCACCAAGGCGACGAUCCGUAACUGGUCUGAGAGGAUGAUCAGUCACACUGGAACUGAGACACGGUCCAGACUCCUACGGGAGGCAGCAGUGGGGAAUAUUGGACAAUGGGCGAAAGCCUGAUCCAGCCAUGCCGCGUGUGUGAAGAAGGUCUUCGGAUUGUAAAG